UCCUAUCAGUGCGAAUUUCGCCUGACCUGGUUCCGUUAUUUAGUAUUCUGUUGGAAUAACCUGUCUAUGCGAAGUACCGCAUGCAUGGUGAUUUCUUUUGUUAUUCCAUUCUUUAUUAUACUCAGUUGGUUAAAGUUUUGACUUCUAUACUCCAUGAAAUUAGUGGAAUAUCCUUGAUAUUUGCGCUUCAUCCAGUAUCUUUUCAUGNN
RNAcentral lists this long non-coding RNA (209 nucleotides) under Panax ginseng (ginseng). Its description in RNAcentral is "long non-coding RNA (PGIN_LNC009547)". Lineage: Eukaryota; Viridiplantae; Streptophyta; Magnoliopsida; Apiales; Araliaceae. The record is from RNAcentral.